Molecule: RNA transcript, 2940 nt
Organism: Daphnia pulex (common water flea)
Lineage: Eukaryota; Metazoa; Arthropoda; Branchiopoda; Diplostraca; Daphniidae
Exons: 6
Source: RefSeq, a predicted model, not a curated record
AAAAGCUUGUUUAUUUUUAUUGAUUUGAAAGCAAAAAACCGCCGAAUACGCAUGCUAUAGCUAUUCACUUUCAUCAGUCGUCGCUAGAUGGAAGGUUAGCAUAUCUGGAGGGCGGAGUGCCGGAGUCACGGCUGUCAUGGCGGAGUGCAAUGUGAGUGCAUGAUGAAGAGCAGAUUUUUUAAUGGCUAUAAUUUUUGUAAUGUAAUUCAUAGAUGGGGAAAGAAACUUCCACUCAAAAGAAAGAAAUGCUGGGUUGAAGUUGAUGAUGCAAAAUUUUCAUGUUUCCAUGUUAGUUAAAAAGCAUUAGCAGAAUAUAAAUCUUUGGCUUGUCACAUCAGCAGAUAAUCCCAAACCCAGGGAAGAAGUCUAGAACAAGUGGCUAAAGCAGACACACUCUUCCAAUGUGUUCAACAGGAUCAGAAGUUAAACUUUCAUCAAUGAUGCCAAGCUUCUAAGGACUUAAAAAAACGGUUUCUCAUUUCACAGUCAUGGUGAUCCCAAAGAAGAUGACCAUUGAAGUUCUAGUUCUCUAUGCAGAGACAAAACGAUAGUUGGCUGAAAACAAUGGAUGUACAUGGCUCAUUUUAUCAUCACUCUGGGUGGUGGACGUGUUAUAAAAUUUUUUCCACAAGAAUGCAGUCAACUAUUAUCAAAUCAAUUGCAAGAUGACCUUCUUUUUACUCCUAUCAUUUGGGGUUUAUUGUGACGCACUGACAGGUGGAUAGUGGCAGCAUAGUUUGAAACAGGGAUCCAUUCUUUCGUAGAGGCUAAAGCAUUUGACAGUAGCUAUCCAAAAAAAUCAUCUUUUGUGUAUUACGUUUCGGAUGGUUUCAAUUCGAACUAGCCCGGCGCAUCAGUGGGCCUUCUCCGACAAACCCAGAUUAGUUUCAUUAUUAAUCAUAUUUCGAAUUUUUAGAAAAUGGCUUAUUGUUUUUUUUAAAUUAUUUUUUUUGAACAUAUGUUGGUGGUAGACCGGAAUUCCAGAAUCAGAUGAGAUAUCUGGCGGUGACCGUAGAACAGGAUGCAUAUUCGGAAGUCAGCACAUCAAGAAUCGGAAACGUUGGUUCUUCGUUGCCAACGUCAGCCGCCUUAACUGAUCGUUGCUACCUGGACACUUCCCGACUCUUCACUCGCUUCGACGACGACAAAGAAUUUUUCCGGUUCCAAAUUUUAUGGUGCGAAAUUUCGUCGGUGGACCACACAUAUUGAGUCAUCGUUGAUAUGAUGCCUUUGUCUAUAAUAGUGAAGCAGAAGCGAUAACUGGGAGCAGCUGCCGAAUGAUUCUGGAACCACGAACUUACUUUUUAAAACAUUUCUUGUUUACAGCGCUAGAUGGCUAUAUCCUUAGUGAUGGAUCUCCAGUUCAACAGCAACUGUCGAAUGUUCCUGGAACUACGAACUUACUCGUCCGUUUGGUGCUCCGAUUCGCCAAUUAUUUGUUUGGUCGUUUGCAUCGUCACCGACUCCAACAUGACCGCAAUGAACCGAAACUAGGACGCUAUUUUGUUGCCGGGAGUAAUCAAAGAUAUCCUAUCGGUGCUGGAUCGUGGAUCGAAUCAUUCGUUCGGCUGAAGAAUAUCUCGAUUUUCUCGGAUGACCUGGCGCAAAAACUCACAGAUCUCGUCCGGGAUCAACUCGCUUAUUCAAUCCCGCCAUUUUGGGAUCAAAGAAAACUUUUACUCCUGAGCUGAAUUUCGUCCACCAUUCAACAACGGAUGCCACUGCUUCCAGUCAAUCUGCUGGACCGUAUUCCGGCUUAAAAGAUUCAUUUCAGAUUUUGUGAUUGCUUGAAAUUGCCAUGAACUUGUUUGUUUUUGUUUGUUUUCUGCAAUUCUUCUUGUUGUAGAUCGCCUAGACUAGCAUAUCUGAGUAAGUGUCUUAACAGUUUGCGUAUUGGCCUAGCCGAAGGUACUGGAGAAAGUAUGAUUGGCACCGAUCUUGUGCCCAUGGCCAGUUUUAGUGAUGGUAAGUCAGAGAACGUUUCCGUAAUUGUUGUCACAGAAGGAGUGAUUUAUGACUCCGGCUCUUUUAGUUAAAUUCCGUGUCAGAAACAAAAAGGUUUUCCAUUCAGGGUUCCCCAUCUGUCAUACCGGUAACAGCAGUAGUUAACGGCGUACAACGAAUUUUUUAUAUCAAGGAUUUUUCAUUUAAAUGCUACAGUGCAUAAAUGUUAGUAUUUGUUUUUGUAAGAGUUGAUAGGGGAAGUAUUGGGUUAGUACAUGCAUGGUGUUAUUUAUUGAAUAUACAUGGGAAACAUUGGGAGGCAAUAGAGGGGGGGACAUGUGGAAGGAGUAGGAAAAAAGGGGGCCUUUCUUAUCAUAACUAGGCGCCGCAACCAUGACACAGUGGUCCAACAUCCAAUUUGAUAAAUCUCGGGAAUUUCAUCGGAUCCUUUGAAGGGUUGGCUGAGAAUGCUGUGGAAUGUUUCAAUUUAGGCAACACAGGAGGUAGCGUAGCUAUUGGUUAUAGCUCCAAAUUGUCACGAGCUUUGUUUAUGAAUCUGGUCAGAAAAUGGAAGACUAAGAGGGUCGGAAGCAGAAGGUGCAUAGAACUCCGUGGUAUCGUCCAGAAAAAUGUGAAUAUAUUAAAAAAAAAAGUGUUAAGUUAAAAUUUUAUUUUUCAACAUUUUUACAUACAUUACCAUGACUAUUUAUAAUUGCGUAUCUAAGAGGACGUAACAUAGAGUGUUUAAGGAUUGAUCUACAGUAGCGUUGGUAGUUGUAAGGGGUACUCGUGAGGUCGUGACUAUUUCUUUCAGUCUUCAUUAUGCAGUGUUGUGUUGGCAAUGGAGGAGUAUGUUUGUCAGACUUGUGUUUUAGUCAUCCGUGUGGACAAUCGGUUUGACUGAGUGUUUGCUUGUCAAGGUUGUUUUUAGACCCUGAUGCCCUGAACUCUUGCUUUUAUAUGGCAGUAUAAAACUAAACCAAUAAAUGUGUAAUU